CAAUAGCGUAUAUUAAAGUUGUUGCAGUUAAAAAGCUCGUAGUCGGAUUUCGGGUCGGGCCGAGCGGUCUGCCGAUGGGUAUGCACUGUUUGGCGGGUGCUCUCCUUCCGGAGGCUCGUUCCCUUCUUAAUUGAAGGGUUCGUUGGUUCCGGGUCUUUUACUUUGAAAAAAUUAGAGUGUUCAAAGCAGGCCUAUGCUCUGAAUAGGUUAGCAUGGAAUAAUAGAAUAGGACUUUGGUUCUAUUUUGUUGGUUUCUAGGACCGAAGUAAUGAUUAAUAGGGACAGUUGGGGGCAUUCAUAUUCCAUUGUCAGAGGUGAAAUUCUUGGAUUCGGUCAAGACUAACUUAUGCGAAAGCAUUCACCAAGGAUGUCUUCUUUAAUCAAGAACGAAAGUUGGGGGAUCGAAGAUGAUUAGAUACCAU
RNAcentral lists this ribosomal RNA (422 nucleotides) under uncultured eukaryote. Its description in RNAcentral is "bacterial SSU rRNA". It matches the Rfam family "Eukaryotic small subunit ribosomal RNA", at positions 592 to 1018 of the family's 1831-position model. The record is from RNAcentral.